This 252-nucleotide ribosomal RNA is filed under the name uncultured bacterium. RNAcentral describes it as "partial 16S ribosomal RNA". It matches the Rfam family "Bacterial small subunit ribosomal RNA", at positions 524 to 776 of the family's 1533-position model. The record is from RNAcentral.
UACGUAGGGGGCUAGCGUUAUCCGGAAUUACUGGGCGUAAAGGGUGCGUAGGUGGUUUCUUAAGUCAGAGGUGAAAGGCUACGGCUCAACCGUAGUAAGCCUUUGAAACUGGGAAACUUGAGUGCAGGAGAGGAGAGUGGAAUUCCUAGUGUAGCGGUGAAAUGCGUAGAUAUUAGGAGGAACACCAGUUGCGAAGGCGGCUCUCUGGACUGUAACUGACACUGAGGCUCGAAAGCGUGGGGAGCAAACAGG